RNAcentral lists this ribosomal RNA (465 nucleotides) under uncultured bacterium. Its description in RNAcentral is "partial 16S ribosomal RNA". It matches the Rfam family "Bacterial small subunit ribosomal RNA", at positions 29 to 507 of the family's 1533-position model. The record is from RNAcentral.
AAUGAACGUUGGCGGCGUGGAUUAGGCAUGCAAGUCGAGCGAGAACCCCGCAAGGGGGGCCAGCGGCGCAAGGGACAGUACUGUGUAGAUUAUCUGCCCUCAGGUCCGGGAUAGCUGCGGGAAACUGCAGGUAAUACCGGAUAACAUCUCCGGAUCAAAGGUGUGAUUCCGCCUGAGGAUGAGUCUGCAUCCUAUUAGCUAGUUGGUGGGGUAAUGGCCUACCAAGGCAUUGAUGGGUAGCAGGUGUGAGAGCACGACCUGCGUCAUUGGGACUGAGACACUGCCCAGACACCUACGGGUGGCUGCAGUCGAGAAUCGUCGGCAAUGGGCGCAAGCCUGACCGAGCGACGCCGCGUGUGGGAUGAAGGCCUUCGGGUUGUAAACCACUGUCAGAGGGGAUGAAAUGCAGGUGGGUUCUCCCAUCUGUUUGACAUAGCCUCAGAGGAAGGACGGGCUAAGUUCGUG